Molecule: long non-coding RNA, 297 nt
Organism: Salvia splendens (bonfire salvia)
Lineage: Eukaryota; Viridiplantae; Streptophyta; Magnoliopsida; Lamiales; Lamiaceae
Exons: 3
Source: RefSeq, a predicted model, not a curated record
AGGGACUGAUCUACAAAAAUAUCAAUCAAAGGAAGCAUGACUUGAAAAAAGAUGACAUGAGCAUGGAGGCAAUGGCAGAUUCAAGGAAUUAUGCUACUGAGAGGGUCAUAAAAAAGGAAGAAAAGGAAAGUCAAGAAGAUGUGGUAACAAUAGGAAAACAACCAAUACUACAAAAAUGACAAAAUGGAAUAUCAAAAGGAAUAAAUGAAACCCUAGAGAGAUAGCAGCCGCCUCUAUCAUUGAAGGAAAUAGAGAGAGAAAUAAAACUUGCUCUCUCAAUAAAGGAGAAGGAGAAAG